Molecule: ribosomal RNA, 254 nt
Filed under: uncultured bacterium
Lineage: Bacteria
Description: partial 16S ribosomal RNA
Rfam family: Bacterial small subunit ribosomal RNA
Source: RNAcentral
UACGUAGGGGGCAAGCGUUGUCCGGAUUUAUUGGGCGUAAAGAGCUCGUAGGCGGCUCGGUAAGUCGGAUGUGAAACCUCCAGGCUCAACCUGGAGACGCCAUCUGAUACUGCCGUGGCUUGAGUCCGGUAGAGGAGCAGGGAAUUCCUGGUGUAGCGGUGAAAUGCGUAGAUAUCUGGAGGAACACCGGUGGCGAAGGCGGCAUCCUGGACCGACACUGACGCUGAGGAGCGAAAGCCAGGGGAGCAAACGGG